CCUACGGGUGGCAGCAGUCGGGAAUAUUGCGCAAUGGAGGAAACUCUGAAGCAGUGACGCCGCGUGCAGGAUGAAGGUUUUCGGAUUGUAAACUGCUUUAGACAGGGAAGAAAAUAGACAGUACCUGUAGAAUAAGAUCCGGCUAACUACGUCCCAGCAGCCGCGGUAAAACGUAGGGAGCAAGCGUUAUCCGGAUGACUUGGGUGUAAAGGGUGCGUAGACGGAGAAGCAAGUUAGUUGUGAAAUCCCUCGGCUUAACUUAGGAACUGCAACUAAAACUACUUCCCUAGAGUACGGGAGAGGAAAGUGGAAUUCUUAGUGUAGCGGUGAAAUGCGUAGAGAUUAGGAGGAACACUAGUUGCGAAGGCGACUUGCUGGACAGUAACUGACGUUGAUGCACGAAAGUGUGGGGAGCAAACAGGAUUAGAUACCCGAGUAGUC
Molecule: ribosomal RNA, 441 nt
Filed under: uncultured bacterium
Lineage: Bacteria
Description: partial 16S ribosomal RNA
Rfam family: Bacterial small subunit ribosomal RNA
Source: RNAcentral